CCUACGGGUGGCAGCAGUGGGGAAUAUUGGGCAAUGGAGGAAACUCUGACCCAGCAACGCCGCGUGAAUGAUGAAGGUCUUCGGAUUGUAAAGUUCUUUUCUUAGGGAAGAAGAAAGUGACGGUACCUGAGGAAUAAGCCUCGGCUAACUACGUGCCAGCAGCCGCGGUAAUCCGUAGGAGGCGAGCGUUAACCGGAAGGACUGGGCGCAAAGGUUGCGAAGGUGGUUUGACAAGUUGGUAGCGUAACUCCGGGGCUCAACCUCGGAACUACUACCAAGACUGUCGGACUUGAGUGCAGGAGGGGGGAAUGGAAUUCCUAGUGUAGCGGUGGAAUGCGUAGAUAUGAGGAGGAAUACCAGAGGCGAAGGCGAUUUGUUGGACUGGAACUGACACUGAGGCACGAAAGCGUGGGGAGCAAACAGGAUUAGAUACCCGGGUAGUC
Molecule: ribosomal RNA, 443 nt
Filed under: uncultured bacterium
Lineage: Bacteria
Description: partial 16S ribosomal RNA
Rfam family: Bacterial small subunit ribosomal RNA
Source: RNAcentral